GAAUGCUGACAUAAGUAACGAUAAAGCGGGUGAAAAGCCCGCUCGCCGGAAGACCAAGGGUUCCUGUCCAACGUUAAUCGGGGCAGGGUGAGUCGACCCCUAAGGCGAGGCCGAAAGGCGUAGUCGAUGGGAAACAGGUUAAUAUUCCUGUACUUGGUGUUACUGCGAAGGGGGGACGGAGAAGGCUAUGUUAGCCGGGCGACGGUUGUCC
Molecule: ribosomal RNA, 211 nt
Filed under: Enterobacter asburiae
Lineage: Bacteria; Pseudomonadati; Pseudomonadota; Gammaproteobacteria; Enterobacterales; Enterobacteriaceae
Also listed under: 1 other name
Description: partial 23S ribosomal RNA
Rfam family: Bacterial large subunit ribosomal RNA
Source: RNAcentral